GAGUGCAGUGAAUAGAAGACACUUCUCUGCACCCCAAAAGCUCCAUGCUGAUUGCGAGAAGGAAAUGCUGGAUGGAGGGGUUCCUGGAACUACUGUGAGGGAAAUGGUAACAGAACUUUGGAUGUGGAACGUGCAGUAGGAGUUACACGAAGUGCGGGUCUGCACUUGGGGUGGUCAGCACGGCGGAUGCCCAGCAAACGCACUGCCUGGUCCACAUCCCGGAGUGGUCUCUACGCCCCAGUCGGCAUCGCAGCUGAUGGUGAAACUUUUGGUGUGGCAGAAGAGUGUCCACAAACUUUGGAAGUUGCUAGAGAAAAAUGAAACGACUAGUUUUGAAAGCCUUACUUCUGCCAAUGGAAGCACAUUCCAGCAUGUCGCCAACGCAAUCCAUUUUCCACCACUUUCACAAGAAAAGUUACGGCACAAUUAUACUAUCCUACCCUUAUAUA
This 449-nucleotide long non-coding RNA is filed under the name Homo sapiens (human). RNAcentral's name for it is "novel transcript". The record is from RNAcentral. Lineage: Eukaryota; Metazoa; Chordata; Mammalia; Primates; Hominidae.